This 31-nucleotide small RNA is filed under the name Bombyx mori (domestic silkworm). RNAcentral describes it as "ovarian small RNA-13129". The record is from RNAcentral. Lineage: Eukaryota; Metazoa; Arthropoda; Insecta; Lepidoptera; Bombycidae.
CAGACUUAGCAAAACUCCCCCCCUGGGCCAC